UCCUCAGUUCCGGGGCGGCCACAGUUGGAGGCGGAGCUGGAGUGUCGUGCUCCAGGACUACAGGAGUCUGCGCCCUGGUGGUGGCCAGAACCAGCAUGAAAUUGGAAGAGCCUGAUUGACCCGGGGAAGGUGCCGGAAGGUCCUCCGUGUGUUCCCCCUCCCCCUUUCUGCUUCCACAGCACUUCCACCUCCUGGGCCUGGGGAAGCCCCACAGCAAAGGAUGCCAGCCAAGGAGGCUCCUGCCUCCACUCUUCAAGCUCCAGGAACAUGAGAUGGAGAAUUCUUGCCAAGCUUCUUCUGGAAAGAGUAAUAAACUCUGCAAUAAACUUUUGAAA
Pantherophis guttatus is the source of this 335-nucleotide non-coding RNA. The record is from RefSeq and is a predicted model, not a curated record. Lineage: Eukaryota; Metazoa; Chordata; Lepidosauria; Squamata; Colubridae.